This 357-nucleotide transfer-messenger RNA is filed under the name Pavlova sp. CCMP459. It matches the Rfam family "transfer-messenger RNA". Rfam says of the family: Bacterial tmRNA, also known as 10Sa RNA or SsrA, is named for its dual tRNA and mRNA-like properties. Its role is to liberate the mRNA from a stalled ribosome. Lineage: Eukaryota; Haptophyta; Pavlovophyceae; Pavlovales; Pavlovaceae. The record is from RNAcentral.
GGGGCUGUUUAGGUUUCGAUAUCUAGAAAAAAACCAAAUGUGAUGCAAGUAGAGGACUUUAAACCUCUUUAAAAAAAGAAAAAAUUAAAAGAAAUGCUAACAAAAUUUUAUCUUUUAACCGAGUACAAUUAGCUGUUUAAUUAGCUAAAAACUCCUUAUUUUUAGAAUAAAUGCUAGAUAAGACCUAAAAAUAAAGUAAAAAAGUUUCUAGCUGCACACAAAAGAAGGAAGAAUUAAUCUAUUGUGUAAAGAUUUUCUUUUCCAACAACUAAAAGCCGCUUCGAUUUUGAAGCUAAACUUGUGAAUGAGCUUUUGGAUUUUUUUAGGUAGACGUGGGUUCGAAUCCCACCAGCUCCA